GACGAACGCUGGCGGCGUGCUUAACACAUGCAAGUCGAACGGAAAGGCCCUGCUUUUGUGGGGUGCUCGAGUGGCGAACGGGUGAGUAACACGUGAGUAACCUGCCCUUGACUUUGGGAUAACUUCAGGAAACUGGGGCUAAUACCGGAUAGGAGCUCCUGCUGCAUGGUGGGGGUUGGAAAGUUUCGGCGGUUGGGGAUGGACUCGCGGCUUAUCAGCUUGUUGGUGGGGUAGUGGCUUACCAAGGCUUUGACGGGUAGCCGGCCUGAGAGGGUGACCGGCCACAUUGGGACUGAGAUACGGCCCAGACUCCUACGGGAGGCAGCAGUGGGGAAUAUUGCACAAUGGGGGGAAGCCUGAUGCAGCAACGCCGCGUGCGGGAUGACGGCCUUCGGGUUGUAAACCGCUUUCGCCUGUGACGAAGCGUGAGUGGCGGUAAUGGGUAAAGAAGCACCGGCUAACUACGUG
RNAcentral lists this ribosomal RNA (468 nucleotides) under uncultured bacterium. Its description in RNAcentral is "partial 16S ribosomal RNA". It matches the Rfam family "Bacterial small subunit ribosomal RNA", at positions 28 to 507 of the family's 1533-position model. The record is from RNAcentral.